GGGGGUGUAGGUCAGUGGUAGACCGCUUCUCUCCAAAAGAAGAGACCAGGGUUCGAUUCCUUGCGCCCCCGCCA
Molecule: transfer RNA, 74 nt
Filed under: Parcubacteria group bacterium CG1_02_42_13
Lineage: Bacteria
Also listed under: 1 other name
Description: tRNA-Trp
Rfam family: tRNA
About the family: Transfer RNA (tRNA) molecules are approximately 80 nucleotides in length. Their secondary structure includes four short double-helical elements and three loops (D, anti-codon, and T loops).
Source: RNAcentral